CUACGGGGGGCUGCAGUGAGGAAUUUUGCGCAAUGGGGGGAACCCUGACGCAGCAACGCCGCGUGAGUGAUGAAGGCUUUCGGGUCGUAAAGCUCUGUCAAGUGGGAAGAACCUAUGCAGUGUUAAUAUCACUGUAUACUGACGGUACCACUGAAGGAAGCACCGGCUAGCUCCGUGCCAGCAGCCGCGGUAGUACGGGGGGUGCAAGCGUUAUUCGGAAUCAUUGGGCGUAAAGGGCACGUAGGCGGCUUGGUAAGUCAGCUGUGAAAGCCCGGGGCUUAACCCCGGAAGUGCAUUUGAUACUGUCAGGCUUGAGUAUGGGAGAGGGAAGUGGAAUUCCUGGUGUAGAGGUGAAAUUCGUAGAUAUCAGGAGGAACACCGGUGGCGAAGGCGACUUCCUGGACCAAUACUGACGCUGAGGUGCGAAGGCGUGGGUAGCAAACAGGAUUAGAUACCCGUGUAGUC
RNAcentral lists this ribosomal RNA (465 nucleotides) under uncultured bacterium. Its description in RNAcentral is "partial 16S ribosomal RNA". It matches the Rfam family "Bacterial small subunit ribosomal RNA", at positions 339 to 795 of the family's 1533-position model. The record is from RNAcentral.